RNAcentral lists this ribosomal RNA (254 nucleotides) under uncultured bacterium. RNAcentral describes it as "partial 16S ribosomal RNA". It matches the Rfam family "Bacterial small subunit ribosomal RNA", at positions 524 to 776 of the family's 1533-position model. The record is from RNAcentral.
UACGUAGGUGGCAAGCGUUGUCCGGAAUUAUUGGGCGUAAAGCGCGCGCAGGCGGUCCUUUUAAGUCUGAUGUGAAAGCCCACGGCUCAACCGUGGAGGGUCAUUGGAAACUGGGGGACUUGAGUGCAGGAGAGAAGAGUGGAAUUCCACGUGUAGCGGUGAAAUGCGUAGAGAUGUGGAGGAACACCAGUGGCGAAGGCGACUCUUUGGCCUGUAACUGACGCUGAGGCGCGAAAGCGUGGGGAGCAAACAGG